GAGUAUGGCUCAGUGGCAGAGCAUGUACCUAACAUGCAUAAGACCCUGGGUUCCAACCCUAGCACCA
Molecule: transfer RNA, 67 nt
Filed under: Marmota monax (woodchuck)
Lineage: Eukaryota; Metazoa; Chordata; Mammalia; Rodentia; Sciuridae
Description: tRNA.Val
Source: RNAcentral